GAGUUCUUCCUGCAGGGGGCGCCUGAGACGCGACUGGGAAGACUGGCUUCCAGGGUCAGGGCAGCUGGCACGGCAGGCUCCUGGGGAGGCAGGAGGCUCCUCCAGUACCAACCAGGCUGUGACACAGCUUCUCGGGGAACCGGGCUGUUGUGAGGCAGUGUGUAGUAAUACAUCAGCGUCUUCUCCCAUGGCAGCAAUCUGUGCACAGCACUCCCAGACCCCCCAGGGGGCGUAUUUCCAGGAACUCCCAGAGGGCGCUUUCUAGAAAGUUCCACCUGAGAGGCGUUACUGCCGUUGUGUGAGGUGCUCGACGGGCUCCUGGAACAAGGAAAUGAUGACUGAUAAAGCAGAGGAGUCUGCUGUUGUGCCCCCAAAGCCAAAAGAAACAUC
Long non-coding RNA from Canis lupus familiaris (dog), 390 nucleotides. RefSeq lists it as uncharacterized. Lineage: Eukaryota; Metazoa; Chordata; Mammalia; Carnivora; Canidae. The transcript has 3 exons. The record is from RefSeq and is a predicted model, not a curated record.